GAGCCUUGUUCCUCCGCCUUGCUGUUGCGAAUUCACUCCAAAAAUCUCCUUAUUCUGUGUAUUUCUACUUUUUGUGAUAGAGACACUUUUGUUUGUGGAAUUUAUGAACUUUGGUGUAAUGCCGAGACGUUGUGCUUUCGGUUGUGCGCUCCUUGAGAUUCCAAUGCAUAGUUUCCCAGAUGCUGUCAAAUUCCUGAGCAGUUUAAAACUUGGGUCAGUCUUGUUGGUGGAAACCCUUAAACAUCUGAUCUUGAAUGUUAUAAGAAGAAGAGAAUUUGUGAUAUACACUUUUCUGACAGACACAGAAAUCAUAAUCAAUGGCUAAGCACAUUGGCAGUUCCGAUGCUUCAUCUGCUUGGACAACUACAGAGUAAAGUAAUCUUAGGACAAGCUUCAUCCACACAACAUUUACUGCCUACAAUAAUACAGCAAGACUGUUCAGAUCUAAUGGCUCCACAGCGCACAAAGAUCAAACAUCUUCAAGCAGAAAUAUCGCUAUUGCGAAAAAAAGGACAAUCUUUCAAAGCAAGGUUAAAAGGUGGUGCAGAUCGAUCAAUCGAAUUUUGUCAGGAAAAUUAACAUAUGUGGGUGAAGACGAAACAAAAACAGCUGCCAAACAAUAUUAUGAUAAACAUAAACAUUAUAAAAAUAAAAAAUAAUAUGCAAA
Leptidea sinapis is the source of this 667-nucleotide long non-coding RNA. RefSeq lists it as uncharacterized. The transcript has 4 exons. NCBI's taxonomy places the organism in Eukaryota, Metazoa, Arthropoda, Insecta, Lepidoptera, Pieridae. The record is from RefSeq and is a predicted model, not a curated record.